Molecule: ribosomal RNA, 500 nt
Filed under: uncultured Glomeromycotina
Lineage: Eukaryota; Fungi; Glomeromycota
Description: partial small subunit ribosomal RNA
Rfam family: Eukaryotic small subunit ribosomal RNA
Source: RNAcentral
CCAAUAGCGUAUAUUAAAGUUGUUGCAGUUAAAAAGCUCGUAGUUGAAUUUCGGGAUUAGUAAGUUGGUCGUGCCUCUGGUAUGUACUGGCUUUACUGGUUCCUCCUUCUUGAAGAACCGUAAUGUCAUUAAUUUGGUGUUGCAGGGAAACAGGACUGUUACUUUGAAAAAAUUAGAGUGUUUAAAGCAGGCUAACGCCUGAAUACAUUAGCAUGGAAUAAUGAAAUAGGACGUUUGAUCCUAUUUUGUUGGUUUCUAGGAUUGACGUAAUGAUUAAUAGGGAUAGUUGGGGGCAUUAGUAUUCAAUUGUCAGAGGUGAAAUUCUUGGAUUUAUUGAAGACUAACUACUGCGAAAGCAUUUGCCAAGGAUGUUUUCAUUAAUCAAGAACGAAAGUUAGGGGAUCGAAGACGAUCAGAUACCGUCGUAGUCUUAACCAUAAACUAUGCCGACUAGGGAUCGGAUGAUGUUAAUUUUUUAAUGACUCAUUCGGCGCCUUACG